RNAcentral lists this unclassified non-coding RNA (329 nucleotides) under soil metagenome. Its description in RNAcentral is "partial contains 5.8S ribosomal RNA, internal transcribed spacer 2, and large subunit ribosomal RNA". The stretch from base 1 to 120 matches the Rfam family "5.8S ribosomal RNA", at positions 35 to 154 of the family's 154-position model. The record is from RNAcentral.
GAUGAAGAACGUAGCGAAAUGCGAUAAGUAGUGUGAAUUGCAGAAUUCAGUGAAUCAUCGAAUCUUUGAACGCACAUUGCGCCCCUUGGUAUCCCGAGGGGCAUGCCUGUUCGAGCGUCAUUUCACCACUCAAGUCUGGCUUGGUGUUGGGCGACGUCCUCUUUGGGGACGCGCCUCGAAACGCUCGGCGGCGUGGCACCGGCUUUAAGCGUAGCAGAAUCUUUCGCUUUGGAAGUCGGGGCCCCGUCUGCCGGAAGACCUGCUCGCAAGGUUGACCUCGGAUCAGGCAGGGAUACCCGCUGAACUUAAGCAUAUCAAUAAGCGGAGGA